RNAcentral lists this transfer RNA (73 nucleotides) under Paramuricea clavata. It matches the Rfam family "tRNA". Rfam says of the family: Transfer RNA (tRNA) molecules are approximately 80 nucleotides in length. Lineage: Eukaryota; Metazoa; Cnidaria; Anthozoa; Malacalcyonacea; Plexauridae. The record is from Rfam by way of RNAcentral.
GACCGCAUAGCUCAGUUGGCAGAGCAUUGGGCUAGUAUUCCAAAGGUCGUAGGUUCGAUUCCCACCUUGGCCA